CGGGGUGUAGCUCAGCCAGGGUAGAGCGCUGCGUUUGGGGCGCAGAGGUCCGCAGUUCAAAUCUGCGCACCCCGACCA
RNAcentral lists this transfer RNA (78 nucleotides) under Chloroflexota bacterium. RNAcentral describes it as "Chloroflexi bacterium tRNA-Pro". It matches the Rfam family "tRNA". From Rfam's summary of the family: Transfer RNA (tRNA) molecules are approximately 80 nucleotides in length. The record is from RNAcentral. Lineage: Bacteria; Bacillati; Chloroflexota.